UUUGUUCUCAGAAAGAGCAUCUGUUCUCAUAAACGAGGGGCUGUGCAUGUUGAAGUUGGAGAAAGUGGAGAACCCGAUUACUGAGGAAGAUGUUUGACGCCAAGAAACAACAGCUACAAUGUUCCACUCAUCGAAACAUGUUUCAGCUUAUACCUUCACAGUUCUGCGAGAUGGUCAGCCAUAUUGGAUUCCAUGCAGAGUACACACCACCUGCAGACCCAGCUUAUGGAGAGGGUAUCUACUUUGCUGGUACAGUGAGGAAAGCCAUGGAAGUGGGAA
Long non-coding RNA from Hippoglossus stenolepis (Pacific halibut), 279 nucleotides. RefSeq lists it as uncharacterized. The record is from RefSeq and is a predicted model, not a curated record. The transcript has 3 exons. Lineage: Eukaryota; Metazoa; Chordata; Actinopteri; Pleuronectiformes; Pleuronectidae.